GCCUUCCGUGGUUGAGGUGGAAUGCGUACUGACAUCACCGCUAUCGAUCAGUGGCGUUUCGAUUUGGCCCACACUCGGGUUCGCUUUCCGCGGGUCUUCCGUCUCCUGAAAACAAUAUAUAUAGGUGUGAACGAAACAUAAUAAUAUGCGGUCGAUGAUAAACUAGAUAUAUCUACUACAAUGCGAUUACUCAUGAAAAUAUCCGCCGCGGCUAAUUCGAACCGAUCAGAACCGGACGUCCGCGAACAUGUCGCGCAGGUUUUUCCGGGCGUCGCCGUAGUACUCAGACCGGAAAAACACGUCAACCGCCCGCAACGGGUCCCGGG
Long non-coding RNA from Acyrthosiphon pisum (pea aphid), 326 nucleotides. RefSeq lists it as uncharacterized. The record is from RefSeq and is a predicted model, not a curated record. The transcript is spliced from 3 exons. NCBI's taxonomy places the organism in Eukaryota, Metazoa, Arthropoda, Insecta, Hemiptera, Aphididae.